Non-coding RNA from Mycena olivaceomarginata, 98 nucleotides. Lineage: Eukaryota; Fungi; Basidiomycota; Agaricomycetes; Agaricales; Mycenaceae. The record is from the annotation of a GenBank genome assembly.
GCCUUCAUAGCACAGUUGGUAAUGCGCCUCCAGCACCGACACCCCUAUUACCCCUGUCGGGACUGGCGAGCUUGUGGGUUCGAUUCCCUCUGGAAGCA